GACGUAGGGCGCGAGCGUUGUCCGGAUUUAUUGGGCGUAAAGAGCUCGUAGGCGGCUUGUCGCGUCGACUGUGAAAACCCGCGGCUUAACUGCGGGCUUGCGGUUGAUACGGGCGGGCUAGAGUUCGGUAGGGGAGACUGGAAUUCCUGGUGUAGCGGUGAAAUGCGCAGAUAUCAGGAGGAAUACCGGUGGCGAAGGCGGCAUCCUGGACCAUUACUGACGCUGAGGCGCGAAAGCUAGGGGAGCAAACGGG
This 253-nucleotide ribosomal RNA is filed under the name uncultured bacterium. RNAcentral describes it as "partial 16S ribosomal RNA". It matches the Rfam family "Bacterial small subunit ribosomal RNA", at positions 524 to 776 of the family's 1533-position model. The record is from RNAcentral.